UAGCGUUAUUCGGAAUUACUGGGCGUAAAGCGCACGUAGGCGGCUUUGUAAGUUAGAGGUGAAAGCCUGGAGCUCAACUCCAGAAUUGCCUUUAAGACUGCAUCGCUUGAAUCCAGGAGAGGUGAGUGGAAUUCCGAGUGUAGAGGUGAAAUUCGUAGAUAUUCGGAAGAACACCAGUGGCGAAGGCGGCUCACUGGACUGGUAUUGACGCUGAGGUGCGAAAGCGUGGGGAGCAAACAGG
RNAcentral lists this ribosomal RNA (241 nucleotides) under uncultured bacterium. RNAcentral describes it as "partial 16S ribosomal RNA". It matches the Rfam family "Bacterial small subunit ribosomal RNA", at positions 536 to 776 of the family's 1533-position model. The record is from RNAcentral.